GUCGCUGAACGAAAUCAAGGAAGUGCUGGCCCAGAUGGGUCUGCACCUCGGCAUGGAAGUGCCCGGUUGGCCGCCGGAGAACAUCGACGAACUGGCCAAGCGCUUUGAGGAUCACUACUGAGCGAAAUCGCGUGAUGGCCGGAUCUCUGGCCAUGACGUUCGGGCGAACGCAGGCAGCCCACCUGAGCAACAUGUCCGACGAACCGUCGCGGCAAUCGAAAUUGAGGAAUAAGUCAUGCGUCACGGCAAGGUUCAUCGGAAACUCAACCGCACCGCGGAGNNNNNNNGAUGUUCGCAAACAUGUGCGCCGCGCUGAUCAAGCACGAGCAGAUCGUCACCACUCUCCCC
This 348-nucleotide unclassified non-coding RNA is filed under the name Hevea brasiliensis (rubber tree). The record is from RNAcentral. Lineage: Eukaryota; Viridiplantae; Streptophyta; Magnoliopsida; Malpighiales; Euphorbiaceae.